RNAcentral lists this ribosomal RNA (253 nucleotides) under uncultured bacterium. RNAcentral describes it as "partial 16S ribosomal RNA". It matches the Rfam family "Bacterial small subunit ribosomal RNA", at positions 524 to 776 of the family's 1533-position model. The record is from RNAcentral.
UACAGAGGGUGCGAGCGUUAAUCGGAAUUACUGGGCGUAAAGCGCGCGUAGGCGGCUUUGCAAGUCGGGUGUGAAAUCCCCAGGCUUAACCUGGAAACUGCAUUCGAGACUGCAUUGCUAGAGUAUGGGAGAGGGAAGUGGAAUUUCCGGUGUAGCGGUGAAAUGCGUAGAUAUCGGAAGGAACAUCAGUGGCGAAAGCGACUUCCUGGACCAAUACUGACGCUCAUGUGCGAAAGCGUGGGGAGCAAACAGG